CCUACGGGGGGCAGCAGUGGGGAAUAUUGGACAAUGGGGGGAACCCUGAUCCAGCCAUGCCGCGUGUGUGAAGAAGGCCCUCGGGUUGUAAAGCACUUUCAGUGAGGAAGAACGCCUGGUGGUUAAUACCCAUCAGGAAAGACAUCACUCACAGAAGAAGCACCGGCUAACUCCGUGCCAGCAGCCGCGGUAAUACGGAGGGUGCGAGCGUUAAUCGGAAUUACUGGGCGGAAAGCGCGCGUAGGUGGCUUGAUAAGCCGGUUGUGAAAGCCCCGGGCUCAACCUGGGAACGGCAUCCGGAACUGUCAAGCUAGAGUGCAGGAGAGGAAGGUAGAAUUCCCGGUGUAGCGGUGAAAUGCGUAGAGAUCGGGAGGAAUACCAGUGGCGAAGGCGGCCUUCUGGACUGACACUGACACUGAGGUGCGAAAGCGUGGGUAGCAAACAGGAUUAGAUACCCCAGUAGUC
RNAcentral lists this ribosomal RNA (465 nucleotides) under Vreelandella stevensii. RNAcentral's name for it is "partial 16S ribosomal RNA". It matches the Rfam family "Bacterial small subunit ribosomal RNA", at positions 338 to 795 of the family's 1533-position model. Lineage: Bacteria; Pseudomonadati; Pseudomonadota; Gammaproteobacteria; Oceanospirillales; Halomonadaceae. The record is from RNAcentral.